CUCAGCGUUAUUGCCCACAGCACAGUUUUAGGGUCUCAUUGUGAGUUUUGAAGAGCUGCUGUCCCUGACACAGCGUCCAGCAUGUUCCGUGUAGCACCUUUCCCAAGAGCUUGGCACGGUGGAAACGUGGACGCGUAUCCGUGCCAGGAGCUGCGCUGAGGGGCGGAGCUGUCCUGG
Long non-coding RNA from Myiozetetes cayanensis, 177 nucleotides. RefSeq lists it as uncharacterized. Lineage: Eukaryota; Metazoa; Chordata; Aves; Passeriformes; Tyrannidae. The record is from RefSeq and is a predicted model, not a curated record. The transcript is spliced from 3 exons.